GACGAACGCUGGCGGCGUGCUUAACACAUGCAAGUCGAACGGAAAGGCCCUGCUUUUGUGGGGUGCUCGAGUGGCGAACGGGUGUGUAACACGUGAGUAACCUUCCCUUGACUUUGGGAUAACUUCAGGAAACUGGGGAUAAUACCGGAUAGGAGCUCCUGAAGCAUGGUGGGGGUUGGAAAGUUCCGGAGGAUGGGGAUGGACGGGGGGGUUAUCAGCUUGUUGGUGGGGUAGUGGCCAACCGAGGGAUUGACGGAUAGCCGGCCUGGGAGGUUGGACAGGGACAUUGGUACUGCGGUACGGCCCAGACUCCUACGUUGGGCAACAGUGGGAAGUAUUGCACAAUGGGCCGGCGCCUGAUGCAAAAACCUCGCGUUCGUAAUGACGGCCUUGUUGUUGUAAACCGCAUUCGCCUGAUACGAAGCGUGAGUGACGUUACUGGGUGAAGAAGCACCGGCUAACUACGUG
This 468-nucleotide ribosomal RNA is filed under the name uncultured bacterium. RNAcentral describes it as "partial 16S ribosomal RNA". It matches the Rfam family "Bacterial small subunit ribosomal RNA", at positions 28 to 507 of the family's 1533-position model. The record is from RNAcentral.